GCAAGUCGAACGGCAGCACGAAGAGCUUGCUUUUUGGUGGCGAGUGGCGGACGGGUGAGUAACACUUAGGAAUCUAUCCAGUAGCUGGGGAUAACCCGGAGAAAUCCGGGCUAAUACCGAAUACGCACUAUGGUGAAAAGAGGGGGAUCUUUCGGGACCUCUCACUAUUGGGUGAGCCUAAGCCGGAUUAGCUAGUUGGUGGGGUAAUGGCCUACCAAGGCGACGAUCCGUAGCUGGUCUGAGAGGACGAUC
This 252-nucleotide ribosomal RNA is filed under the name uncultured bacterium. RNAcentral describes it as "partial 16S ribosomal RNA". It matches the Rfam family "Bacterial small subunit ribosomal RNA", at positions 57 to 305 of the family's 1533-position model. The record is from RNAcentral.